AUUGAACGCUGGCGGCAGGCCUAACACAUGCAAGUCGAGCGGUAACACAGGGAGCUUGCUCCUGGGUGACGAGCGGCGGACGGGUGAGUAAUGUCUGGGAAACUGCCUGAUGGAGGGGGAUAACUACUGGAAACGGUAGCUAAUACCGCAUAACGUCGCAAGACCAAAGAGGGGGACCUUCGGGCCUCUUGCCAUCAGAUGUGCCCAGAUGGGAUUAGCUAGUAGGUGGGGUAACGGCUCACCUAGGCGACGAUCCCUAGCUGGUCUGAGAGGAUGACCAGCCACACUGGAAAUGAGACACGGUCCAGAUUCCUACGGGGGGCAGCAGUGGGGAAUAUUGCACAAUGGGCGCAAGCCUGAUGCAGCCAUGCCGCGUGUAUGAAGAAGGCCUUGGGGUUGUAAAGUACUUUCAGCGGGGAGGAAGGUGUUGAGGUUAAUAACCUCAGCAAUUGACGUUACCCGCAGAAGAAGCACCGGCUAACUCCGUGCCAGCAGCCGCCGUAA
This 504-nucleotide ribosomal RNA is filed under the name uncultured bacterium. RNAcentral describes it as "partial 16S ribosomal RNA". It matches the Rfam family "Bacterial small subunit ribosomal RNA", at positions 30 to 523 of the family's 1533-position model. The record is from RNAcentral.